UGACUGUCCCCAUUUCUCUUUCAUGGAGAGAGGACUGAGGCCCAUCUUUUGAGUUCUCAUCUUGAGAGGGUGGGGCUGAGACCCAAACCUGGCACUUGAGCACUGGACUGAGACCUCCUCUUCUGGGAAGUGGCCAAGCCCCUGUCAUCCUGUGACUGUUUACUCUCUGCCUAGUGUCUCACCUACUAAAUAGACCUUGUCUCAUGGUGGCUCUCAGGAGGCCAGGGGUGGGGCCAUUCCCUAUAGAUUCUGUGGCCCAGGUGUCAUUUCUGGCCUCUGGGCGCUUUGAGGCCCUCAGAUGGCCAUGUUUAUUGCAAGGCUCAUGUGGCCUAGGACCCCCUUUCUAACUGGUGUCCUGUGGGCCUUGGUCAGCUCCAGGGACAUGUUUGUCUUUUUUUUUUUUUAUUAUAAGACUUAUUUAUUUAUUAUAUAUGAGUACACUGUAGCUGUCUUCAGACAUGCCAAAAGAGGGCAUCAGAUCCCAUUACAGAUGGUUGCGAGCCACCAUGUGGUUGCUGGGAUUUGAUCUCAGAACCUCUGGAAGAGCAGUCAAUGCCCUUAACCACUAAGCCGUCCCUCCAAACUGGGAUAUGUUUUUUUUUUUUUUUUUUAAUGUUUCCAGGGUGGCGCUCCAACCCCCUUCGACCGGAACUAUGGGACCAAACUGGGGGUGAAGGCCAUGUUGUGGA
RNAcentral lists this long non-coding RNA (689 nucleotides) under Rattus norvegicus (Norway rat). RNAcentral describes it as "long non-coding RNA NONRATT017268". Lineage: Eukaryota; Metazoa; Chordata; Mammalia; Rodentia; Muridae. The record is from RNAcentral.